CGGGGGGAGCAAGCGUUGUUCGGAUUUACUGGGCGUAAAGGGCGCGUAGGCGGCCACCGCAAGUCGACUGUGAAAUCUCCGGGCUUAACCCGGAAAGGUCAGCCGAUACUGCGGGGCUAGAGUGCAGAAGGGGCAACUGGAAUUCUCGGUGUAGCGGUGAAAUGCGUAGAUAUCGAGAGGAACACCUGCGGCGAAGGCGGGUUGCUGGGCUGACACUGACGCUGAGGCGCGAAAGCUAGGGGAGCGAACGGGAUUAGAUACCCCGGUAGUCCUAGCCUUAAACGAUGAAUGCUUGGUGUCUGGGGUUUUUAUAGUCCCCGGGUGCCGUCGCUAACGCUUUAAGCAUUCCGCCUGGGGAUACGGUCGCAAGACUG
RNAcentral lists this ribosomal RNA (374 nucleotides) under uncultured organism. RNAcentral's name for it is "bacterial SSU rRNA". It matches the Rfam family "Bacterial small subunit ribosomal RNA", at positions 526 to 896 of the family's 1533-position model. The record is from RNAcentral.